GGGCCCAUAGCUCAGUUGGUAGAGCAGCGGACUCAUAAUCCGUUAGUCGUAGGUUCGAGUCCUACUGGGCCCA
RNAcentral lists this transfer RNA (73 nucleotides) under Candidatus Zhuqueibacterota bacterium. Its description in RNAcentral is "candidate division KSB1 bacterium (microbial mat metagenome) tRNA-Ile". It matches the Rfam family "tRNA". From Rfam's summary of the family: Transfer RNA (tRNA) molecules are approximately 80 nucleotides in length. Their secondary structure includes four short double-helical elements and three loops (D, anti-codon, and T loops). The record is from RNAcentral. RNAcentral also lists the same sequence under 1 other name. Lineage: Bacteria; Pseudomonadati.